This 2893-nucleotide ribosomal RNA is filed under the name Pseudomonas syringae pv. actinidiae. RNAcentral describes it as "23S ribosomal RNA". It matches the Rfam family "Bacterial large subunit ribosomal RNA". The record is from RNAcentral. Lineage: Bacteria; Pseudomonadati; Pseudomonadota; Gammaproteobacteria; Pseudomonadales; Pseudomonadaceae.
GGUCAAGUGAAGAAGCGCAUACGGUGGAUGCCUUGGCAGUCAGAGGCGAUGAAAGACGUGGUAGCCUGCGAAAAGCUUCGGGGAGUCGGCAAACAGACUGUGAUCCGGAGAUGUCUGAAUGGGGGAACCCAGCCAUCACAAGAUGGUUAUCUUACACUGAAUACAUAGGUGUAAGAGGCGAACCAGGGGAACUGAAACAUCUAAGUACCCUGAGGAAAAGAAAUCAACCGAGAUUCCCUUAGUAGUGGCGAGCGAACGGGGACCAGCCCUUAAGUUGUAUUGAGAUUAGCGGAACGCUCUGGAAAGUGCGGCCAUAGUGGGUGAUAGCCCUGUACGCGAAAAUCCCUUUGCAAUGAAAUCGAGUAGGACGGGGCACGAGAAACCUUGUCUGAAUAUGGGGGGACCAUCCUCCAAGGCUAAAUACUACUGACUGACCGAUAGUGAACCAGUACCGUGAGGGAAAGGCGAAAAGAACCGCGGAGAGCGGAGUGAAAUAGAUCCUGAAACCGUAUGCGUACAAGCAGUGGGAGCCCACUUUGUUGGGUGACUGCGUACCUUUUGUAUAAUGGGUCAGCGACUUAUUUUCAGUGGCGAGCUUAACCGAAUAGGGGAGGCGUAGCGAAAGCGAGUCUUAAUAGGGCGUCUAGUCGCUGGGAAUAGACCCGAAACCGGGCGAUCUAUCCAUGGGCAGGUUGAAGGUUGGGUAACACUAACUGGAGGACCGAACCGACUACCGUUGAAAAGUUAGCGGAUGACCUGUGGAUCGGAGUGAAAGGCUAAUCAAGCUCGGAGAUAGCUGGUUCUCCUCGAAAGCUAUUUAGGUAGCGCCUCAUGUAUCACUGUAGGGGGUAGAGCACUGUUUCGGCUAGGGGGUCAUCCCGACUUACCAAACCGAUGCAAACUCCGAAUACCUACAAGUGCCGAGCAUGGGAGACACACGGCGGGUGCUAACGUCCGUCGUGAAAAGGGAAACAACCCAGACCGUCAGCUAAGGUCCCAAAGUCAUGGUUAAGUGGGAAACGAUGUGGGAAGGCUUAGACAGCUAGGAGGUUGGCUUAGAAGCAGCCACCCUUUAAAGAAAGCGUAAUAGCUCACUAGUCGAGUCGGCCUGCGCGGAAGAUGUAACGGGGCUCAAACCAUGCACCGAAGCUACGGGUAUCACCUUUGGUGAUGCGGUAGAGGAGCGUUCUGUAAGCCUGUGAAGGUGAGUUGAGAAGCUUGCUGGAGGUAUCAGAAGUGCGAAUGCUGACAUGAGUAACGACAAUGGGUGUGAAAAACACCCACGCCGAAAGACCAAGGUUUCCUGCGCAACGUUAAUCGACGCAGGGUUAGUCGGUCCCUAAGGCGAGGCUGAAAAGCGUAGUCGAUGGAAAACAGGUUAAUAUUCCUGUACUUCUGGUUAUUGCGAUGGAGGGACGGAGAAGGCUAGGCCAGCCUGGCGUUGGUAGUCCAGGUUUAAGGUGGUAGGCUGAGAUCUUAGGUAAAUCCGGGAUCUUAAGGCCGAGAGCUGAUGACGAGUGUUCUUUUAGAACAUGAAGUGGUUGAUGCCAUGCUUCCAAGAAAAGCUUCUAAGCUUCAGGUAACCAGGAACCGUACCCCAAACCGACACAGGUGGUUGGGUAGAGAAUACCAAGGCGCUUGAGAGAACUCGGGUGAAGGAACUAGGCAAAAUGGCACCGUAACUUCGGGAGAAGGUGCGCCGGUGAGGGUGAAGCAUUUACUGCGUAAGCCCACGCCGGUCGAAGAUACCAGGCCGCUGCGACUGUUUAUUAAAAACACAGCACUCUGCAAACACGAAAGUGGACGUAUAGGGUGUGACGCCUGCCCGGUGCCGGAAGGUUAAUUGAUGGGGUUAGCGCAAGCGAAGCUCUUGAUCGAAGCCCCGGUAAACGGCGGCCGUAACUAUAACGGUCCUAAGGGAGCGAAAUUCCUUGUCGGGUAAGUUCCGACCUGCACGAAUGGCGUAACGAUGGCGGCGCUGUCUCCACCCGAGACUCAGUGAAAUUGAAAUCGCUGUGAAGAUGCAGUGUAUCCGCGGCUAGACGGAAAGACCCCGUGAACCUUUACUAUAGCUUUGCACUGGACUUUGAAUUUGCUUGUGUAGGAUAGGUGGGAGGCUUUGAAGCGUGGACGCCAGUCUGCGUGGAGCCAACCUUGAAAUACCACCCUGGCAACUUUGAGGUUCUAACUCAGGUCCGUUAUCCGGAUCGAGGACAGUGUAUGGUGGGUAGUUUGACUGGGGCGGUCUCCUCCUAAAGAGUAACGGAGGAGUACGAAGGUGCGCUCAGACCGGUCGGAAAUCGGUCGUAGAGUAUAAAGGCAAAAGCGCGCUUGACUGCGAGACAGACACGUCGAGCAGGUACGAAAGUAGGUCUUAGUGAUCCGGUGGUUCUGUAUGGAAGGGCCAUCGCUCAACGGAUAAAAGGUACUCCGGGGAUAACAGGCUGAUACCGCCCAAGAGUUCAUAUCGACGGCGGUGUUUGGCACCUCGAUGUCGGCUCAUCACAUCCUGGGGCUGAAGCCGGUCCCAAGGGUAUGGCUGUUCGCCAUUUAAAGUGGUACGCGAGCUGGGUUUAGAACGUCGUGAGACAGUUCGGUCCCUAUCUGCCGUGGACGUUUGAGAUUUGAGAGGGGCUGCUCCUAGUACGAGAGGACCGGAGUGGACGAACCUCUGGUGUUCCGGUUGUCACGCCAGUGGCAUUGCCGGGUAGCUAUGUUCGGAAAAGAUAACCGCUGAAAGCAUCUAAGCGGGAAACUUGCCUCAAGAUGAGAUCUCACUGGAACCUAGAGUUCCCUGAAGGGCCGUCGAAGACUACGACGUUGAUAGGUUGGGUGUGUAAGCGCUGUGAGGCGUUGAGCUAACCAAUACUAAUUGCCCGUGAGGCUUGACCAU